RNAcentral lists this small RNA (515 nucleotides) under Pongo abelii (Sumatran orangutan). RNAcentral describes it as "processed transcript". The record is from RNAcentral. Lineage: Eukaryota; Metazoa; Chordata; Mammalia; Primates; Hominidae.
CAGUUCCUGAAGCCUGUGGUAGUAAUAAUUAGCAGUGGCACACUGGCACCACUUGGCACAUAAUUAGAGUCAUAAGUAACUGAGAUUUUUUUCCCAGGAAGCCAUCCCGUCAGAGGCGUUCAAGUGAUGAAAGUUGGCAAACUGCAGCUACAUCAAGGCAUGUUUCCCCAAGCAAUGAAGAAUCUGAGACUGGCUUUUGAUAUUAUGAGAGUGACACAUGGCAGAGAACACAGCCUGAUUGAAGAUUUGAUUCUACUUUUAGAAGAAUGCGACGCCAACAUCAGAGCAUCCUAAGGGAACGCAGUCAGAGGGAAAGAUGGCGUGUGUCUUUGUUGAAUGCCUUAUUGAGGUCACACACUCUAUACUUUGUUAGCUGUGUGAACCUCUCCUAUUGGAAAUUCUGUUCUGUGUUUGUGUAGGUAAAUAAAGGCAGACAUGGUUUGCAAACCACAAGAAUCAUUAGUUGUAGAGAAGCACAAUUAUAAUAAAUUCAAAACAUUUGGUUGAGGAUGCCG